UCCUACGGGUGGCUGCAGUGGGGAAUCUUGGACAAUGGGGGCAACCCUGAUCCAGCCAUGCCGCGUGAGUGAAGAAGGUCUUCGGAUUGUAAAGCUCUUUUGCCAGGGACGAUAAUGACGGUACCUGGAGAAUAAGCCCCGGCAAACUUCGUGCCAGCAGCCGCGGUAAUACGAAGGGGGCUAGCGUUGUUCGGAAUUACUGGGCGUAAAGCGCACGUAGGCGGGUGGUUAAGUCAGGGGUGAAAUCCCGGAGCUCAACUCCGGAACUGCCUUUGAUACUGGCCAUCUAGAGAUCGGAAGAGGUGAGUGGAAUUCCCAGUGUAGAGGUGAAAUUCGUAGAUAUUGGGAAGAACACCGGUGGCGAAGGCGGCUCACUGGUCCGAUACUGACGCUGAGGUGCGAAAGCGUGGGGAGCAAACAGGAUUAGAUACCCCAGUAGUCCU
RNAcentral lists this ribosomal RNA (443 nucleotides) under uncultured Hyphomicrobiales bacterium. RNAcentral's name for it is "bacterial SSU rRNA". It matches the Rfam family "Bacterial small subunit ribosomal RNA", at positions 337 to 797 of the family's 1533-position model. Lineage: Bacteria; Pseudomonadati; Pseudomonadota; Alphaproteobacteria; Hyphomicrobiales. The record is from RNAcentral.